This 74-nucleotide transfer RNA is filed under the name Candidatus Poribacteria bacterium. RNAcentral's name for it is "tRNA-Leu". It matches the Rfam family "tRNA". Rfam says of the family: Transfer RNA (tRNA) molecules are approximately 80 nucleotides in length. Their secondary structure includes four short double-helical elements and three loops (D, anti-codon, and T loops). The record is from RNAcentral. Lineage: Bacteria; Candidatus Poribacteria.
CGGGGCGUAGCGCAGUCCGGUUAGCGCGUUCCGAUAGAUCGGAAAGGUCGGAGGUUCAAAUCCUCUCACCCGAU